AAAGGAAUAGACGGGGACCCGCACAAGCAGCGGAGCAUGUGGUUUAAUUCGAAGCAACGCGAAGAACCUUACCAAGGUUUGACAUCCCCUUGCUAGGUACAGAGAUGUACCCUUCUCUUCGGAGACAAGGGAGACAGGUGGUGCAUGGUUGUCGUCAGCUCGUGUCGUGAGAUGUUGGGUUAAGUCCCGCAACGAGCGCAACCCCUAUCCUUAGUUGCCAUCAGGUAAAGCUGGGCCCUCUAAGGAGACUGCCGAUGAUAAAUCGGAGGAAGGUGGGGAUGACGUCAAAUCAUCAUGCCCCUUAUAUCUUGGGCUACACACGUGCUACAAUGGUCGGUACAACGGGGAGCUAAAGAGUGAUCUGGAGCGAAUCCCAAUAAACCGAUCCCAGUUCGGAUUGUAGGCUGCAACUCGCCUACAUGAAGUUGGAGUUGCUAGUAAUCGCGAAUCAGAACGUCGCGGUGAAUGCGUUCCCGGGUCUUGUACACACCGCCCGU
RNAcentral lists this ribosomal RNA (497 nucleotides) under uncultured bacterium. Its description in RNAcentral is "bacterial SSU rRNA". It matches the Rfam family "Bacterial small subunit ribosomal RNA", at positions 903 to 1397 of the family's 1533-position model. The record is from RNAcentral.